This is a long non-coding RNA of Carassius gibelio (silver crucian carp), 710 nucleotides long. RefSeq lists it as uncharacterized. NCBI's taxonomy places the organism in Eukaryota, Metazoa, Chordata, Actinopteri, Cypriniformes, Cyprinidae. The record is from RefSeq and is a predicted model, not a curated record. The transcript has 2 exons.
AUCAAAAAAGGAAUUUACGGGGCGUACGCACGUAUAUGUCCAUAUUUAUGUGCGACCCUUUUUCAUAACUAAGAUUCGGACUUAAAAUUAUUUUACAUUUAAAACAAAUUCAGAAAAAACGCAAUAUAAACUUAGACAAAAACAAACACGAAGUUGUGCGGAAAGCCCUUAUAUGGAGAUGUUUGGGCGCGUUCUAUGCAAAUUACUACAUGCAGUCACACGCCCCCUCAUUUAUAAUUCACCAACACUGAACAAAGAGUAGGAGCAAGUGCUUGUGCGUAUGCACCUGUUGGGAUUCCUGUGGAAAUUUUGCACAAGAACUUUAGCUCUGCAGGUCCAUUCUGAAAUGCUGGUAAGCGUGUUUAUCAGGUCAGGAUGUUGAUUCAUCAGGGUUUUCCAAGAGGCAAAGCCAUCCUCCCAUUCCAAGGCCAAGAGGAAGAGCGCAUGGAACUUGGAGAUACUGUACGUUGUUCCCGCAUGUUUCCGAGUGUACAUUCCAGAUGAAGUAGGUCACCCUGCCCGGCUGCCUCUAAUAACACUGCUCUCUCUCUGAAUGAUCACUGUCAGCCAAUCGUAAUGAUCAGAUGCUUCAAUCAGCCAAUCAGAAACAUUAGACUAAUCAAAAUUUGUUAUACAAAAUACUUCAAAUGUUUGUGGACUGCAUUUUGAAUGUUCGUGUCAAGGAUAAUUACACAGAAGAAUGCACCAAA